GAAGAACCUUACCUACUCUUGACAUCCAGCGAAUCCUUUAGAGAUAGAGGAGUGCCUUCGGGAACGCUGAGACAGGUGCUGCAUGGCUGUCGUCAGCUCGUGUUGUGAAAUGUUGGGUUAAGUCCCGCAACGAGCGCAACCCUUAUCCUUUGUUGCCAGCGCGUAAUGGCGGGAACUCAAAGGAGACUGCCGGUGAUAAACCGGAGGAAGGUGGGGAUGACGUCAAGUCAUCAUGGCCCUUACGAGUAGGGCUACACACGUGCUACAAUGGCAGAUACAAAGAGAAGCGACCUCGCGAGAGCAAGCGGAACUCAUAAAGUCUGUCGUAGUCCGGAUUGGAGUCUGCAACUCGACUCCAUGAAGU
Molecule: ribosomal RNA, 364 nt
Filed under: Proteus vulgaris
Lineage: Bacteria; Pseudomonadati; Pseudomonadota; Gammaproteobacteria; Enterobacterales; Morganellaceae
Description: bacterial SSU rRNA
Rfam family: Bacterial small subunit ribosomal RNA
Source: RNAcentral